AAGACUAUAGACCUGCGGAGUACCUGCGGAGGGAUCAUUACCGAGUUUACAACUCCCAAACCCAUGUGAACAUACCUAUCGUUGCUUCGGCGGGAUCGCCCCGGGCGCCUUGUGUGCCCCGGAUCCAGGCACCCGCCGGGGGACCUUAACUCUUGUUUUAUUUAGAAUCUUCUGAGUAGUUUUUACAAAUAAAUAAAAACUUUCAACAACGGAUCUCU
RNAcentral lists this unclassified non-coding RNA (218 nucleotides) under soil metagenome. Its description in RNAcentral is "partial contains 5.8S ribosomal RNA, internal transcribed spacer 2, and large subunit ribosomal RNA". The record is from RNAcentral.